UUUAAAGCGGCAAAAACUGCAUAUGCCUCUGCUGUAAAUAUGGAGCACUUUUUAUCGAGAGCAAAGCUUUGAGCAAAAUCUUUUUGGGAAUCAUAUACCGCACUUCUCACAAAAUCAUUGCCUUUACUGCCAUCAGUGUAGAUUGUAUAAUACUUGUUAUUUUCUUCUAUAAAAGCCAGUAAAUCUGAAUUAUUUUCGAUUGAAUUUGAUAAAAUCGUAAUAGGAUGAGUGAUACAACUGUAUGAAUGAGUGUAACACGACCAGUGUGAAAGUUUUUUGAUGUUCGAAUAAUGAGAUUGUAUUUCUAAGAAGAUCUGGCACAGAGUUGGAGAUGUACCUCUCAGGAGAUCAUUUGGUGAAGUGAGUGGACCAUCUAUAUUGAUUGGAUCCGAUAUGAGAGAAAUGAAGCUAUCAACACAACUUCUUCCUCUGCGAAAUCCAUAUUGAAUGUGUGGAAUGACAUUAUUGGAUUCUGCAUACCAGUCAAGUCGAGAUUUCACCAUAUUUUCAAAUAUUUUUCCAAUACAUGAUGAUAACGAGAUUGGACGAUAAGAACUGAUCUGUUCAGGUGACUUAUCUGGUUUUAAUAUAGGUAUUACACAUUGAGUUUGCCAUGAACUUGGUAUGAGUUUUUUAUGCCAUAGAUUAUUAAGAACAUUCAAAAAUAGCUUUUGUACAGAUUCAGAUAGAUGUUUUAUUAAUAAAUAUGGAAAAUCAUCUAAAC
Molecule: long non-coding RNA, 724 nt
Organism: Pieris brassicae (large cabbage white)
Lineage: Eukaryota; Metazoa; Arthropoda; Insecta; Lepidoptera; Pieridae
Exons: 2
Source: RefSeq, a predicted model, not a curated record